Alexandromys fortis (reed vole) is the source of this 346-nucleotide long non-coding RNA. RefSeq lists it as uncharacterized. The record is from RefSeq and is a predicted model, not a curated record. The transcript has 3 exons. NCBI's taxonomy places the organism in Eukaryota, Metazoa, Chordata, Mammalia, Rodentia, Cricetidae.
AGCAAGACAGUUCUGAAAGACCAGCCUACCCCAGGCCAGCGGAGAGCCCUGGAGAAAGAACCAGAACGGAAGUAAGCCUCGGCAUUUGCUGUGGACAAUGCAUGCACCAGUGACUAGGAGCCCUUGGUGCCUAGAAGGCUACAGUUUUUUCUGUCCUCUGAGCAUGCCGGGACCCUGCUGCUCUUGGCUCUCACCACUUGUGCUGCAUGGAGCAGGUGUCUAAUGAAGUUUGGUAUGCCUAGCCUCUCUCCAUGACCAGCAAAAACCACCACGUCAAAGCAAACACACAAACAACAACAACAACAGGGCUUCUAAAGGAAAGUAGUUAGGAACUUUUUGUAAAAGC